AAAAAACGAAAAAAAACGAAAAAAAAAAUGAAAAAAAAACGAAAAUAAAUAAAUAAAUAAAAUAUAACAGAAAAUUUUUGGACUUGGGCCUUUCUCAUUUGAGCCCACAGGUCCACAAAAAUCAGGUUAUAAAUUCAGAGUUUCAGUGAAACAAAAGGAAUCCUAUUCCUAUUACCCUGGCAGGAAAAAGAUAGUGAGAGAAGAGCUAACAGAGUUCAGAGCAACCUCCAGAGACUGAAGGGAACUCAUCG
RNAcentral lists this long non-coding RNA (251 nucleotides) under Lathyrus oleraceus (garden pea). RNAcentral's name for it is "Pisum sativum (pea) long non-coding RNA (PSAT_LNC021100)". Lineage: Eukaryota; Viridiplantae; Streptophyta; Magnoliopsida; Fabales; Fabaceae. The record is from RNAcentral.